UACAGAGGGUGCGAGCGUUAAUCGGAAUUACUGGGCGUAAAGCGCGCGUAGGCGGCUUUGCAAGUCGGGUGUGAAAUCCCCAGGCUCAACCUGGGAACUGCAUUCGAGACUGCAUUGCUAGAGUAUGGGAGAGGGAAGUGGAAUUUCCGGUGUAGCGGUGAAAUGCGUAGAUAUCGGAAGGAACAUCAGUGGCGAAAGCGACUUCCUGGACCAAUACUGACGCUCAUGUGCGAAAGCGUGGGGAGCAAAC
RNAcentral lists this ribosomal RNA (250 nucleotides) under uncultured bacterium. RNAcentral describes it as "partial 16S ribosomal RNA". It matches the Rfam family "Bacterial small subunit ribosomal RNA", at positions 524 to 773 of the family's 1533-position model. The record is from RNAcentral.